GCCUGUAUAGCUCAGCGGUAGAGCGCCCGCUUCACACGCGGGAGGUCCGAGGGUCGGCACCUCGUACAGGCA
This 72-nucleotide transfer RNA is filed under the name Arthrobacter sp. zg-Y1110. Its description in RNAcentral is "tRNA-Val". It matches the Rfam family "tRNA". From Rfam's summary of the family: Transfer RNA (tRNA) molecules are approximately 80 nucleotides in length. Their secondary structure includes four short double-helical elements and three loops (D, anti-codon, and T loops). The record is from RNAcentral. Lineage: Bacteria; Bacillati; Actinomycetota; Actinomycetes; Micrococcales; Micrococcaceae.